UAGGGAAUCUUCCGCAAUGGGCGAAAGCCUGACGGAGCAACGCCGCGUGAGUGAUGAAGGUCUUCGGAUCGUAAAACUCUGUUAUUAGGGAAGAACAUAUGUGUAAGUAACUGUGCACAUCUUGACGGUACCUAAUCAGAAAGCCACGGCUAACUACGUGCCAGCAGCCGCGGUAAUACGUAGGUGGCAAGCGUUAUCCGGAAUUAUUGGGCGUAAAGCGCGCGUAGGCGGUUUUUUAAGUCUGAUGUGAAAGCCCACGGCUCAACCGUGGAGGGUCAUUGGAAACUGGAAAACUUGAGUGCAGAAGAGGAAAGUGGAAUUCCAUGUGUAGCGGUGAAAUGCGCAGAGAUAUGGAGGAACACCAGUGGCGAAGGCGACUUUCUGGUCUGUAACUGACGCUGAUGUGCGAAAGCGUGGGGAUCAAACAAGAUUAGAUACCCUGGUAGUCCACGCCGUAAACGAUGAGUGCUAAGUGUUAGGGGGUUUCCGCCCCUUAGUGCUGCAGCUAACGCAUUAAGCACUCCGCCUGGGGAGUACGACCGCAAGGUUG
This 550-nucleotide ribosomal RNA is filed under the name uncultured bacterium. RNAcentral's name for it is "bacterial SSU rRNA". It matches the Rfam family "Bacterial small subunit ribosomal RNA", at positions 355 to 896 of the family's 1533-position model. The record is from RNAcentral.